UAGGGAAUAUUGGACAAUGGGCGAAAGCCUGAUCCAGCAAUGCCGCGUGAGUGAAGGAGGCCCUAUGGGUUGUAAAGCUCUGUGGAAGGGGAAAAUAAUGAUGGUACCCAUUUAGAAAGCACCGGCUAACUACGUGCCAGCAGCCGCGGUAAUACGUAGGGUGCAAGCGUUGUUCGGAAUUACUGGGCGGAAAGGGGGAGUAGGCGGAAAGAAAAGUCAGAUGUGAAAGCCCUGUGCUUAACGCAGGAAGAGCAUUUGAAACUAUCUAACUAGAGUGUAUUAUGGGAGCGUGGAAUUCCUAGUGUAGCAGUGAAAUGCGUAGAUAUUAGGAGGAAGACUCGUGGCGAAGGCGACGCUCUGGGGUAACACUGACGCUGAGGACCGAAAGCAUGGGGAGCAAACA
RNAcentral lists this ribosomal RNA (403 nucleotides) under uncultured prokaryote. RNAcentral's name for it is "bacterial SSU rRNA". It matches the Rfam family "Bacterial small subunit ribosomal RNA", at positions 355 to 774 of the family's 1533-position model. The record is from RNAcentral.